Molecule: long non-coding RNA, 227 nt
Filed under: Homo sapiens (human)
Lineage: Eukaryota; Metazoa; Chordata; Mammalia; Primates; Hominidae
Description: non-protein coding lnc-UBR5-1:1
Source: RNAcentral
AUGGAGUACAGUGACACAACCUCAGUUCACCUCCCAGGCUCAAGUGAUCCUCCCAUGUCAGCAUCCCCAGUAGCUGGGUCUACAGGCGUUCACCACCAUGCCGGGCUAAUUUUCGGUGUUUUUGGUAGAGACGGGGUUUCGCCAUGUUGCCCAGGCUGGUCUCCAACUCCUGAAAUCAAGCAAUCCAGCCGCCUCAGACUCCCAAAGUGCUAAAUUUACAAGCAUGA